This is a non-coding RNA of Pelobates cultripes (western spadefoot toad), 234 nucleotides long. The record is from the annotation of a GenBank genome assembly. NCBI's taxonomy places the organism in Eukaryota, Metazoa, Chordata, Amphibia, Anura, Pelobatidae.
CCUUAGUGUCUCAGUGUCUGUGUCAUAAUGUCUCCCAGUGCCCCUUAGUGUCUCAGUGUCUGCCAUAAUGUCUCCCAAUGUCCCCAUGUCUCUCAGUGUCUGCCAUAAUGUCUCCCAGUGUCCCUUAGUGUCUCAGUGUCUGCCAUAAUGUCUCCCAAUGUCCCUUAGUGUCUCAGUGUCUGCCAUAAUGUCUCCAAGUGUCCCUUAGUGUCUCAGUGUCUGCCAUAAUGUCUC